CCUACGGGUGGCAGCAGUGAGGAAUAUUGGUCAAUGGACGAGAGUCUGAACCAGCCAAGUAGCGUGAAGGAUGACUGCCCUAUGGGUUGUAAACUUCUUUUAUAUGGGAAUAAAAUGUUCCACGUGUGGGAUUUUGUAUGUACCAUAUGAAUAAGGAUCGGCUAACUCCGUGCCAGCAGCCGCGGUAAUACGGAGGGUCCGAGCGUUAUCCGGAUUUAUUGGGUUUAAAGGGAGCGUAGGUGGAUUGUUAAGUCAGUUGUGAAAGUUUGCGGCUUAACCGUAAAAUUGCAGUUGAAACUGGCAGUCUUGAGUACAGUAGAGGUGGGCGGAAUUCGUGGUGUAGCGGUGAAAUGCGUAGAUAUCACGAAGAACUCCGAUGGCGAAGGCAGUUCACUGGACUGCAACUGACACUGAGGCUCGAAAGUGUGGGUAUCAAACAGGAUUAGAUACCCCUGUAGUC
This 460-nucleotide ribosomal RNA is filed under the name uncultured bacterium. Its description in RNAcentral is "partial 16S ribosomal RNA". It matches the Rfam family "Bacterial small subunit ribosomal RNA", at positions 338 to 795 of the family's 1533-position model. The record is from RNAcentral.